Molecule: non-coding RNA, 46 nt
Filed under: Schistosoma mansoni
Lineage: Eukaryota; Metazoa; Platyhelminthes; Trematoda; Strigeidida; Schistosomatidae
Source: RNAcentral
AUUUAGCUGACGUAUCCCAAAUAGGACGAGACGAGCGUCUUUAGAU